This is a long non-coding RNA of Lagopus muta (rock ptarmigan), 1338 nucleotides long. RefSeq lists it as uncharacterized. The record is from RefSeq and is a predicted model, not a curated record. Lineage: Eukaryota; Metazoa; Chordata; Aves; Galliformes; Phasianidae. The transcript is spliced from 4 exons.
AGGAGUCAGUGGGUGCUUGCAGGUCUCCUUCUUGGUCCUCCUGUGAGAAGUGUUUUAUUACUGCAGAAAUGGCACUUAGCUGUCCGUUGCCGUUGUCAACAAAGCAAUGAACUACAGAUAAAAGUGCACGAAACAAUCCUGUUGAAAAAUAGGGUCUGAGCCUUCCCUGCUGCAACUUUUGGCUUCCCUUGGGGUGCAGCAUUGAUGCUUUGUGGCUGAACAAAGCCAACCUGUUGUAAAACCAGUGUGGAACUUUCAUCUGCUGCUCAAGUGUUCCUCUGUGGCUUCUGCCUUAAGUGUAUGGGAUUGAGGCUGACCCACGUUGAGAUGGGAUGGCGUUGUACUGGCUAACUCAUGUCCAAGGACAAAGAAGAGGAGUUUGGCUGUCUUGACAAUGACUGGUUCUGCAGUAGGGGUUUUUUGUGAUGUCAUUGGGAACAACUUGGUUGGGAGCCAUGGUUCCUCGCCUUUCUGCUGGGAGCACACUAGACCUUGUGUAGGGCCUGGGUUUGUUGCCCUGACUGCAUCACAGGGUGACAGCUUACAUAGGAGCAACUAGAGGAUGGGACUGGCGUGCCAUCACCCAGCAGCUGGAGCCCACCAUGAGGUCCUUUGUCCCUUACCUGUGAUUUAAGACCUGACAGCAGCAGGGUGAGGAUCCGUACCUGUUAGGCACAGUGCCACUCCUGGGGAGACAGUUGGCACUUGUCACUGCUGCAGCUGGGGCCAUCCCUGCAUCCAUGGGGCUGCAGAACCCAGUUGGCAGCUGGGACACCGUAGGAAUCCAGCCCAGAGAUAUGGAGCGUUGGCUUUAGCAGAUGGAAAUAAAUACACUGAAUGCAGCCCAAGAUGUCUGUGCUAGCUAACUGUGUGUGUGGAGGUAUCCCUGUGUCCGUGGUUUGUUCUCUUUCACAUCAUGAAACACAGUGGAGUUCUGGCAGCCGGGGGGAGCCCAAGGAGCUCCUCCAGUUUCAGCUCCCAAGCCCCUUCUCUUUUCUCUGUGCCAUACGGUAUCUGGUUUGCUGGUUGUGGGUUUAUACAAUCGACUUUGUGAUUUCAGGGAUUUCCUAAGCAAACAAGCAAACCAUCAAUAUUGCUCUAACAGAGCGUUGGUGUUUAUCUACGCUUUUGCAGGAACACAGAUUGGAAUUACUGACUUUAAAUGAAACACCACCGGCAGGCGUGGUUUGUGCUAUGGGCUCAGGAUGCUCUGCUGCUAUCAGCCCUUUGUGGAGUGGGUUGUCUUGGGUGUAGUGAUGUGCUGAGCUGUCUGCCUGUACAGCACAUCACAUAACAACUGCUUGAGUUGCAUAAAUAUGUAUACAUGUGUCAUUUUUG